ACUCCUAGCCUGACUAUUGGACUAAUCUAUUCAAUUAUAGAAGAAAUACUGUUAAUAUGAGUAACAAGAAAAAUUUUCUCCUCGCACAAGCUUAUAUCAGUAACUGAUAAUACACUGAUAGUUAACAGCUAAUAAAUAUAACCCAACACUAAACUAUUUAUUAACCGUACUGUUAAUCCAACACAGGCGUGCACUAAGGAAAGAUUAAAAAGAGUAAAAGGAACUCGGCAAACACAAACCUCGCCUGUUUACCAAAAACAUCACCUCUAGCAUAACUAGUAUUAGAGGCACUGCCUGCCCAGUGACAAUCGUUAAACGGCCGCGGUAUCUUGACCGUGCAAAGGUAGCAUAAUCACUUGUUCUCUAAAUAAGGACUUGUAUGAAUGGCCACACGAAGGUUUUACUGUCUCUUACUCUUAAUCAGUGAAAUUGACCUCCCCGUGAAGAGGCGGGGAUAACACAAUAAGACGAGAAGACCCUAUGGAGCUUUAAUUAAUCAACUCAAAAAGCAUAAAACAAUACCACCAAGGGAUAACAAAGCCUUAUAUGAGUUGACAAUUUCGGUUGGGGUGACCUCGGAGUAUAAAAAACCCUCCGAGUGAUUAAAACUUAGGCCUACCAGCCAAAGUAUAGUAUCACUUAUUGAUCCAAAAUUUUGAUCAACGGAACAAGUUACCCUAGGGAUAACAGCGCAAUCCUAUUCUAGAGUCCAUAUAGACAAUAGGGUUUACGACCUCGAUGUUGGAUCAGGACAUCCUGAUGGUGCAGCAGCU
RNAcentral lists this ribosomal RNA (773 nucleotides) under Aethalodelphis obliquidens (Pacific white-sided dolphin). Its description in RNAcentral is "Sagmatias obliquidens partial 16S ribosomal RNA". It matches the Rfam family "Bacterial large subunit ribosomal RNA", at positions 1469 to 2563 of the family's 2925-position model. The record is from RNAcentral. Lineage: Eukaryota; Metazoa; Chordata; Mammalia; Artiodactyla; Delphinidae.